CAGACGGACAGGCGGGCGGGCGGGCGGACAGACGGACAGGCGGCCGGCCCUGCCCGCGCGCGGCCGUUGGGCUCGGCGCUGAGGGGAGACGAGGGGGGGAUAAGGAGUAAUGGGGGGAGGAGGGGGGAAGCGCCGCAACCCGCCCGCAGCCUCACCUGGAACGGCGCCGAGGCCAGGCGGUGCUGGCGCUGCCGGCGGCUCCCUGAGGAGCCCGGCGGCCCCCGGGGAAGGGCUGCGAGGCGCCGGGGGUGGGGGGACGGCGGCGCUACAGCGGCCCCCGGGCCAGCCUCCGCCCCAUGGCGUGCGGCGCGGUCUCUAUGGCGACUGCGGGGCCGGGACGGAGCCGGCCCGCCCGCCCGCGGGGAGGGCCGAGGGCUGGGCGCCGAGCCGGGGGCGCUCAGGGGGCUGCGGAGCGGCCCGCGGGCCCCCCCCGCCUUAACCCCCUCGCCGCCGCCAUCCCCGCGGCGCCGCCGCUCGCAGCCCGCCCGCUCCGCCGCCUCCGCCGCCCUUCCUCGGCCGCCGCGCCACCGAGCCCGCUGCCCGCCGCGGCCCGCCCCCUUCCAGCCUCCCGCAGCGCCGAUUGGGCGGCGGCGGAGAUUCCCGCGGGGGGAUUGGCUGGCGGCGGGGUCAAUCACGGGGAGGGAGGAGGACGAGCUUGAGGCGGCGGUGGCGGCGCCGGGGCCGGGGUUGGUUGAGCGGCGCGGAGCCCAGCCGCAGCCGCCCCCGCGCGGUGCUGAGGGGACGGCGGGGCCCGGCCGGGCCGCGGGGCUGGAGCCGCCUCCUCGCCGCCUUCGGGCCCCGCUGCCCGGAGCUUGGGGCUCUGAGAAGGGCUCUCUGCUUCGGGGGGCUGCGGCCGGGUGCUCGGCCCCCGGAUUUAACCUGGUGGCAUAAGAACCUCGAAAUACGAUUAGAGAUGCAGGAGCGAUUAGCGCAGGCAGGAGAGUUGAAGCCUUUUUCUCCAUCUCCAUUGGUGAGUCAGUGUAAAGACAGAACUACACGGACAUCAGGAAAUCAGUACUUCGCUCUUCCUCAGAAUGCCUGUUCCUGGUAUUUUCUGCCUUGUAUUCAGCAAGGUGCCAGUUUUGAGAUCUCAUUCUGUCCUCUGAAGCAGGUUAGUAGUUUCUUUUACAAUAAGUUACAGAUAAGAACGUGUGUCCAGCUAAAAGGGCCAAUUUUGUUGAAGCUGGUGAGAUAAGAUAUAGGUUGUUUAUGACAAAACUGCAAGCUAAAUUUCUUGGGAUAAUUUGCAUCCAAUAAGUAAUUUUAUAAACAAAUAAAUAGCUGUGUGACAAGUCUUUUUCUAUGUAGUUGGGGAUAUUUGACAGCAAAGGAAAUGGUAAGUGGCAUCUUGAAAGCAAAAAGCUACAAGUAUGCUGAGGGAAGCCCUGUGUUCAAAGUUAGACAAGAAAAGCUCAAGAACAAUAUGGAUAAUAUGGGAAAGAUUUUCAUAUUUAUUGGGCUUCUGUUCAAAGAAAUAAAAUCCAGCAUCCUUUCCCAUUGCUGGGGGUGGGGGGGAAGCCUCUAUGUGUAUGCUUUGUAAUACUGGAGUAGCUCAUGUGUGGGGUGUGUUUCCAAGAACUUGGGGGGAUUAGUUUCACUCAACUACUAGGAGCAUUUGUGGUUUUACAGUAAUCCCAGUCACAAAUAUAACUUGAAAAAGAAUAUAUACAUCCUGCAGAGUAAGACAAUGACACUUUUAGCUCAACAUUGCGCUUCAGUUUUUCCAGAUGGAAGAACUUUCUUCAUAGUGCUCAAAAUUGCUACUACAUGGCAGUGUUGAAUAAAUAUUUUCAACACUUCACUGAACAGUUAGGGAAGGAAUAACAUACGGUAUAUUUACAGAAUUCAUUAUAAGGGGAAGAGGGUUUUCGUGUUAUCUGAAAUAAACUCAAUAAAUUAUUACUGUAAAAAAGUUAUCUUAGGAGAAAUAUCCACAUAGAAGCUGCAAAGACUGGUUCUUCUGCCUAGUGUUUCUCAGAGACUAAUUUCUCAGGAACAGAUUAGAUUAAUUGUUCUUCUGUCCCAGACUCGAUGCAUUCAACACUGUGCAAGCAUUUAUCCUAAAGAUUCUUUGUGCAAUCUUUGUAGGGUCAGUCAAGGGGUGAUUGCUCCACUACAGCAACCAGUUAUUUCUCUGCUUUCCUCUGUCAGCAUAGCUCAUACAAAAUAGCUUGUGCUAGGCAGAUGUUCUACUGCUGGAAGUCUGUGGUGUGGGUACCUCUGUUGUAGAUGAAUGUGAAUACUGCAUGAAGCUGGUCUUGUAAAUAAAACUGCAUCAAAGAAGCUAGAAAUAGCAUUUGAGAAUUGUCAGAGGCAACGAUUUACUAGGAGAGUUGCUCUUACACAGAGAAGUUUCAUGUUUUAAGAUUAGGCAUCUGAGAAUGGUGGAGGGAUCUAUACCAGAAUAACUACACAAGACUGACUGUAUCACUGUUUAUGAAAUUCAGCCUCAAAUUUCUUCAUGGCUAGAAUAAUAUAACAUGAAGCCUCAAGUUUAUAUCUUCUAAAGUCAAGUGCCUCCUUAGUAGAUGAUUUUUAAGUGAAGAUUGGCCUGUCUACAAAUUUUGUACAAAUGUUAAAGCAAAAGACAUUCACCGAGUCGGUG
Molecule: long non-coding RNA, 2605 nt
Organism: Cairina moschata (Muscovy duck)
Lineage: Eukaryota; Metazoa; Chordata; Aves; Anseriformes; Anatidae
Source: Ensembl